GUAUUGCGCAGAUUCUUGGUUGCUUGACUGUUGUUACAUUUUUCAGUGCAAGCAACUCGGAUGAGACUGAAUCAGUAAUGAAGUUACUUUGGGACUUAAUUAAUCCUGGAACUGACUCUAGUAUUGAAAGGAAAGAUUCACCAGCCGUUUUAACUGCCAUGAUAUCCGCUUGGUCCUUUCUUCUUUCUACCAUUGAUGGGUGGAGGCUAAGUCACAAAAAUUGGCAAGGGGCAAUUACAUACUUCUCCAACAUAUUAGACAGUAACGAUGAAGCACUAUGUGCAGCAG
Long non-coding RNA from Gossypium raimondii (Peruvian cotton), 288 nucleotides. RefSeq lists it as uncharacterized. The record is from RefSeq and is a predicted model, not a curated record. The transcript has 3 exons. Lineage: Eukaryota; Viridiplantae; Streptophyta; Magnoliopsida; Malvales; Malvaceae.